CAGCCGCCGCGGUAAUACGAAGGGGGCUAGCGUUGCUCGGAAUGACUGGGCGUAAAGGGCGCGUAGGCGGAUUGUUUAGUUAGGCGUGAAAUUCCUGGGCUUAACCUGGGGACUGCGCUUAAUACAGGCAGUCUAGAGUGAGGAAGAGGGUUGUGGAAUUCCCAGUGUAGAGGUGAAAUUCGUAGAUGUUGGGAAGAACACCGGUGGCGAAGGCGGCAACCUGGUCCUUGACUGACGCUGAGGCGCGAAAGCGUGGGGAGCAAACAGGAUUAGAUACCCCUGUAGUCCCUGUCUCUUAUAA
This 301-nucleotide ribosomal RNA is filed under the name uncultured bacterium. RNAcentral describes it as "partial 16S ribosomal RNA". It matches the Rfam family "Bacterial small subunit ribosomal RNA", at positions 509 to 809 of the family's 1533-position model. The record is from RNAcentral.